UACGUAGGGGGCAAGCGUUGUCCGGAUUUAUUGGGCGUAAAGAGCGUGUAGGCGGCCAGGUAGGUCCGCUGUGAAAACUCGAGGCUCAACCUCGAGAUGUCGGCGGAAACCAUCUGGCUAGAGUCCGGAAGAGGAGAGUGGAAUUCCUGGUGUAGCGGUGAAAUGCGCAGAUAUCAGGAAGAACACCAAUGGCGAAAGCAGCUCUCUGGGACGGUACUGACGCUGAGACGCGAAAGCGUGGGGAGCGAACAGG
RNAcentral lists this ribosomal RNA (253 nucleotides) under uncultured bacterium. Its description in RNAcentral is "partial 16S ribosomal RNA". It matches the Rfam family "Bacterial small subunit ribosomal RNA", at positions 524 to 776 of the family's 1533-position model. The record is from RNAcentral.